Molecule: ribosomal RNA, 495 nt
Filed under: uncultured bacterium
Lineage: Bacteria
Description: partial 16S ribosomal RNA
Rfam family: Bacterial small subunit ribosomal RNA
Source: RNAcentral
GACGAACGCUGGCGGCGUGCCUAAUACAUGCAAGUCGAACGCUGAAGGAGGAGCUUGCUUCUCUGGAUGAGUUGCGAACGGGUGAGUAACGCGUAGGUAACCUGCCUGGUAGCGGGGGAUAACUAUUGGAAACGAUAGCUAAUACCGCAUAAGAGUAGAUGUUGCAUGACAUUUGCUUAAAAGGUGCAAUUGCAUCACUACCAGAUGGACCUGCGUUGUAUUAGCUAGUUGGUGGGGUAACGGCUUACCAAGGCGACGAUACAUAGCCGACCUGAGAGGGUGAUCGGCCACACUGGGACUGAGACACGGCCCAGACGCCUACGGGAGGCAGCAGGAGGGAAUCUUCGGCAAUGGACGGAAGUCUGACCGAGCAACGCCGCGUGAGUGAAGAAGGUUUUCGGAUCGUAAAGCUCGGUUGUAAGAGAAGAACGAGUGUGAGAGUGGAAAGUUCACACUGUGACGGUAUCUUACCAGAAAGAGACGGCUAACUACGUG